CGGCACUCCUCCUUCUCUGCUCCACCCCACCCUCAGGCUGAGCUCUGGCGCCAUGGAGGGGCUGGUUCCAGUCCUGUGCGCUUUGCUGAUGUCUGCGGAGUUUGCUGGCGGCAAGAAAGAGCCAGGUGUCAACUUGAGCUGUUACCAGUGUUUCAAAGCGGCCAGCCAGGCGCUGUGCACGCCCACCGUGUGCGACCCCAGCGACCGGGUCUGCGUGUCCAACACUGUGGUCCUUCUACGCAAAUCAAAGGCGACACUUUCUCUCAGCAAGCGCUGUGCUCCCAGGUGUCCCAACACCAACAUGAACUAUGAGUGGACACUGGGACCCAGGAUACUAGGCAGGAUCAUCCGGCGGUGCUGUUCUGGAAAUCUCUGCAACAGGGCACCCACCAUUCAGCAGGGUCCCUGGGCCCUUGGAAGGGGAUUCCUGCUCGCAGCGGGCCUCCUCUGGGUCCUGCUGUGAGCACCUUCCUCCUGGGCCGGCAGACCCACUAUAUCCUCCCACGUCCUGCCUCAGCCCUGCCCCCGUCCUUUUCAAGACACUGGGUGGGACCUUCCCACUCUGAGGUGGUGGAAAGGAUGCCAUUGCCUCUGUCCCAGACCUGGCCACUUCUCCCAUCUCCCGCAGGGGCCCUUUGUUCAACAGCCCAGAGAAGGUAGCCCAGUCCACCCGGAAGAGAAAGGGCAUCCCCAGUACGGGGCAAUGGCUCCCUGGAUAAGUUAGCUCACCCCAAGUACACUGUUCAGGGUCCCAGCGGGGGCAGGAAGAGCCUGGGCAAGGCCAGAGGGUGGCAGCAGCCUGGCCUCCGGCUCUGACUUGCCCUGGCUUGGACUGGGCCAGCCCCCCUUCCCCCUGGCCCGUCCCCUCUGCCCGUAGGGCCCAGGCAGAGUCAGGCUGUGGGUGUCCACCUGUGCGUUGAGACCAUGACCAUCACUCCCAGAGACAAUAAACUCAUGAUCUG
RNAcentral lists this long non-coding RNA (962 nucleotides) under Ursus maritimus (polar bear). Its description in RNAcentral is "lncRNA (ENSUMAG00000024965.1)". The record is from RNAcentral. Lineage: Eukaryota; Metazoa; Chordata; Mammalia; Carnivora; Ursidae.